CUUCCUGCUCACGUUCCUUCGUGUGUUUGACAUUCCCUGUAUGUUCUGAGUCAUGCAGGUUCUCGGCUGGAGCCGAGAGACCUGGGCUGCAGACGCAGCUCUCUGCCAACUUGCUGUGUGCCUUUGGGCAAGCCCUCACCCUCUCUGGGCCUCUGUGUUCCUCCUUUACAGUGUCAGUUGACGACACAAGAUGCUCGCUGGGGUGGUCCUGGUGCCACUCUCUGGAAUUCUGGCAGUUCACGGGAAAGAGAAACCUGAGUGUGCGGAAAAGGCCUGCGUCAGUCAGUGUUCUCCAGGCCAACAGAAUCAAUAGCAGUUACGUGUGCGCAUUACGUGUCCCUGCGAGAGGGAGCUGAGAGUGCUGUCAACUGUAGGACUGAGAGAGGGGAGAGGGGCUCCCGGGGCUCACCCUGGCACACUCCCCUCCUGGCUGUUGCUACACAAGGCCCGGAUUAUGUGGUGCUCACAUUGAGUGAGGAAACUUCAAAACAAAUCAUCCCAUCAGUGGUUUUUGAGGCAAGGGGCAGCUCCCUGAAGGGUGUGAACACAGGGUCCCAGCCUGGGUCUCGCUCCUAUGCUCCUCUCCAGGCCCUAGCAAGCUGCUCCCCGGCGCAGGGAGGACUGGGAAGAGGCACUGGGGCUCCGCCUGGAGAAGGCAGGCCCGGGGGCCUCUCGGCUGGGACACGCUGGGCCCCCCCUGCCUGGCACCCGGGGUCCUGCACCCUGCCAGGGAGGCCAACCUGAUCCUGGGUCUGCAUGCGAGGCCCUGCCAGCUGGCUCCACCACCUCCACCCAUCUGCCUCCUGCCCUCAGAAGCCGUGGUGUGGUCUCCGGGAUCAGGUGAUUGUGGAAAAACAGAGGACCAAAGCCCAGGGGAGGCUGUGGGGCGGGGCUGGCAGCAGGUCAUGUACCUGGUGUGAGAGGUUGUGCGUCCUUGGAGGGUGCUCUGGAAUCAGUUGUCUAUACUGGAGGAGGAAGGAGUGUCCAUGAGGAACUUUCUGGAGUCUGACGGCCCAGAACUGCAGGUGCGGAGGAGACAGAGUUUGUGUGGGCACAUGUGCGUGUGUGCAUGUCUGUGCACACGUGUGUCUUUGUGCAUAUGUGUCUCUGUGUACGUGUGUCUCUGUGUGUGCAUGUCUGUGUGUGCGUGUGUCUGUAGGCGUGUGUCUGCAUGUGGGCAUGUGUGUCUGGGUGCAUGUAUGUGCGUGUGUGUCUCUGUGUGUAAGAUAUGUGGAAAGUACGCACAUGAUUCCAAGACCCCG
This 1262-nucleotide long non-coding RNA is filed under the name Pan troglodytes (chimpanzee). Its description in RNAcentral is "long non-coding RNA NONPTRT009643". Lineage: Eukaryota; Metazoa; Chordata; Mammalia; Primates; Hominidae. The record is from RNAcentral.